AGCAAACAACUUCUGCCUCUUGGUCUCUUCUGGCUAUUUAUUGCUACAGCAUAACAAACUGCCCCCAAACAACAACCAUUGUAUCGUCUACAGUUUUGUGAGUCAGAAAUUUGCGCAGGGCUCAGCUGGGUGAUCCUUCAGUGAUCCAUGGAGCGCCGACUAGAGUCACUCAGUGAUCUUCAGCUGCUGAUUGUGCUAUGCUGGAGGAUCGAGAUGGUUUCACUCAGGUUCCUGGUGCUUUCGUGGGGAUGGCUGGAACACUGAGCUCAGCUGGGUCCGUCUGCCUCUCCAUGGAAUCCCAGGGCUUCUCCAGGACUUGUGUCCCAGUAGCUGGCUCUCCUGUCAAAGCUUGUCCCGGGCUGAGAGCUGGAGCUCUGUGUUCCCACCAAGGAUCUACUGUCAGAAUCACUGGAGAGCAGCGUGGGCUUUACAGAAGGAAGGUUCUGGGGCAGCAGGGGCACGUGGCCUCCCUGGGACAGGCACACACCUGGAAACCCCACAAAUGGGAAGGACUCCAUGUGGGUGACAG
This 529-nucleotide long non-coding RNA is filed under the name Homo sapiens (human). Its description in RNAcentral is "HSALNT0263450". Lineage: Eukaryota; Metazoa; Chordata; Mammalia; Primates; Hominidae. The record is from RNAcentral.